GGGAAUCUGGACUUUUGCUUGGCUAUUUUCUCCAGGGUGUUUUGGAGAUGGUGUUCUGAAUUUCAAGUUGGAAUGCCAAGCAUUCUGUUUUCCAAACUAAUUACCUAUUUCUCCAGAGAAUUCUUGAGUCCCACUCUAUUCCUCAAAUGGCCUCAUAUGUGAGUUUAUUUAUAAUUUGACACAAUGAUCCAUUUCCACUUCACUCUACUUCCAUUCUAUAGGUGAAUGGCUCAUAUCCUGGGUCUUUUUGGUUAUGGGUUUAGUUUAGCCUUCCUUAAAUGUUAUAUUCUUCAGGAGAAAAUAAGAUUCUUGAGGCGAGGAACAUUACAAAUUAAAAAGAUUACUAAAAUGAAGACACACUGAGUAGGUUAUUGAAAAACAGUAACAAAGGUCUUAGAGAACAAAUAAUGAAACAUACCUUCCCCAGCAAAGCAGAGGUAGGGGACUAAUAGGACAGAAUAUUAUAUAUAUAUAUAUAUAUAUAUAUAUAUAUAUAUAUAUAUAUAUAUAUAUAUUCAAAUGUGGUCACUAUCAGGUGCCUUUGCUUGUUUUUCUUUGUCACAAAGGAGAAUUCAGUGAGGAGACAUAAAAUACGAGUAUAACUUUUCUUUUUUUUAAUUCAAGUCUAGGCCAAGGACAAACUAUAACACAAUGUCUUUGAACUGUCAGUGUCUAACACACAGAAAGCACUUAAUAAAUGCUUAUUGAAUUGAAUUUCACAGAAUUUGGCUCAGAAUCAGGAAGAGUAAGUUUGUGGAUUCUAUAUUUACUCCACCAAAAUUCUCCCAUCUAUAUUUAAGAUCUUAUGACUUGAGACAAGAGGGACCAUAUCUAUCAUUUAAACCAAAACCCUAAGACCCAAAUUGAUGUCUCUAUAGAAGUGCUUUUUAACGUGACCCUGGGCAUUAAACUGCAGAAAGGACAGAAAAAGCUGGCUAAUAUACACGUAUCUCCCUUAGGAUUUUUUUUGGUGAGGUUCUAGACAUUAGAAAUGUUGGGGAACCUUGGUUGUGUCUUUACAGGCAAAAUAAGGUGGGGUGCUGAAGUAAUUAGCUGGAUACUUCGGAGGAAAAAUCUUUUUAUGCCUCUAAUUACCCAAAUUAGCUGUCCCAGCUAAGACAAUCGGCUCCACCUUUCCCUUCCUGUUCUUCUCUAUUGUAGCCACAUCUCGGGUCUCCACCUUUGCCAGGUAUUGUUUGCCAUUUCCUCCUGUAUCGAUCCGGCUUCCAGCCUGACAUUUCUGGGAGAGAGGACUUCCGAAUCAGACAAACCAAAGGCGGCUGAAAGCCGCGGACGGGGGUUUAACCCGCUCCCCGACACCGCGGAGGCGAAUUUUUCGGUCGUUGGUGGGAAGGGGUUUGCGAGCGACUCGCACGGAAGGAGCCCUGGGCUGCCAUAGAAGACGGAGGCUUGGAGGCUGAGGGGUGUCGGGGUCGCGCUUGCAAUGGGCGCAUUUUCCUGGAUGAGGGCCGCUCCCUGCCCCUUGCCCCGGAGCCUCCGGGCCCGCUCCCGCCCACUCCCCACGUACACUGCGGGUCUCCUUUUUUCUGCGCCCCUCCCCCCUCCCGCGCAGCUCCUGCCAGGCCCUGCCCGAGCUCCGGCUUGCCUGCCCGGCCCGGCCUCCCCCAUCCCUGCGGCGGCGGAGACCGGGGGCGCAGAGCCAGCCCGCCCCCUGCCCCUUCCCCUGCGGCAGGCAGGCGGGAGCCGGCAGCGGGACGCCCGCCCUGCGCCUCCCUUCCCCCGAGCGCCCGGAGCCGCAGGGCGCGGAGCGCAACCGGCCCUCGCCCUCCUCGCGGCUCCGCCGCCGGGCUUCCCGGCUCUCCUCCGCCUCCCGUCCUUUCAUCUCCGUCCUCCGUCCAGUCCCGCCCCGGGUCCCUGCCUGCUGAGCCUCCCGGGCCCGCGGCUGCUGCCGCACCUCGGGCAGGCCGGGUUCGCGGGCGGCCUGUCCCGCUCCCGGCCCCGGUUGAUUCCAAGACUGGGGCUGCUGUUGCGGCUGCAGCCGUCCCUGCUGCCGCCACAGCUGCCCCUGCCGCCUCCGGCUCUUGCUCGCGCUCCUGCUUCAGCUCCCGCUGCCAUUGACGUCAGAGGGGCUGGCACAUGACUGGGGAGGGACCAAUCAGGAAAGCCCUGGGCUGCUUCUGCAAUCUCUCAACACAACUCCUGC
Molecule: long non-coding RNA, 2164 nt
Filed under: Sarcophilus harrisii (Tasmanian devil)
Lineage: Eukaryota; Metazoa; Chordata; Mammalia; Dasyuromorphia; Dasyuridae
Description: lncRNA (ENSSHAG00000027478.1)
Source: RNAcentral